Molecule: ribosomal RNA, 439 nt
Filed under: uncultured bacterium
Lineage: Bacteria
Description: partial 16S ribosomal RNA
Rfam family: Bacterial small subunit ribosomal RNA
Source: RNAcentral
CCUACGGGUGGCAGCAGUGGGGGAUAUUGCACAAUGGGGGAAACCCUGAUGCAGCGAUGCCGCGUGAAUGAAGACGGCCUUCGGGUUAUAAAGUUCUGUCGCAGGGGACGAAAAUGACGGUACGCUGCAAGAAAGCCCUGGAUAACAACGGGCCAGAAGCCGGGGUAAAACGUAGGGAGCAAGCGUUGUCCGGAAUGACUGGGUGUAAAGGGAGCGUAGGCGGGAGGGUAAGUUGAAUGUGAAAUCUAUGGGUUCAACCCAUAGCUGCGUUCAAAACUGUUCUUCUUGAGUGAAGUAGAGGCAGGCGGAAUUCCUAGUGUAGCGGUGAAAUGCGUAGAUAUUAGGAGGAACACCAGUGGCGAAGGCGGCCUGCUGGGCUUUUACUGACGCUGAGGCUCGAAAGCGUGGGUAGCAAACAGGAUUAGAUACCCUGGUAGUC